This 1320-nucleotide long non-coding RNA is filed under the name Homo sapiens (human). Its description in RNAcentral is "STARD13 antisense RNA". The record is from RNAcentral. Lineage: Eukaryota; Metazoa; Chordata; Mammalia; Primates; Hominidae.
GUCACAAGAGGCCCUGAGCUCUGUGGGCCCCAGGUGCCCCGGGAAAACUUGGGGGAGAAUGGGCAUCCCACCCCAGCACUUUCUAGGAAGAAGGGCAGCAUUUUGAAGGGCUGGAAGUAGAGGAAGGAGGUUGCGGGUAGAAGACUCCAUACUUUCUGUGACGCCUAUUCCUUAGUCAGAGGCAUGGCUUGCCUGGGCCUCUGGGUGCAGCUGCACAGAUUCAAGCAGCCUGAAGGAAAGGUGACUGACAGCUAAUGAUCUGAAAAGAACUUGUCUCAACUCAACGUCAUUCCUGGCAUUAUCGAACAAAGCAAUAAACCUCACAGAAUGGAAGCUACAGUGUCCAGGGCCAGCUCUGCUAAGGUAACCAAAGACAGAGAAGGAGGCAAAAGUGACAGAAGAAACUCAUGGGAAACCAACAGAAAUAUAAUGGCUUUGGCAGAAAUGCAAUUAUCAAUUGGGAGCUUGUGAUGAAUGUUUUCUCAGUAUCCUAUGCUGAAAACAGGUAGAUACUAAUAUCGAUCUUCAAGGGAGGGCUGUUGAGUAUUGAAUAAGACAAAAACAUGGAAGCAAUCAGCACCAUGCUGGAAUCAAGGCUAUCUGUAAUCACAGGGCUAUUUGAAAAAGAGAAGAAAAGGUGUCUUGAAAUUCAACCAACAUGUUUCAAUUAUUUGCUCCUAAGAACAACAGAAGUUUCAACAUUCUGCCAACAGAGUAACUCCUGGAAGAUUGGCACAGAAGAAGGCACAAGGAGAGCCUUUAUAUAACCAAAGAUAUUUUUGGACCAUGAAUUCAGAAAUUCUCGGAGCCACCCAUCAGUGCCUGAGCUUCAGUGAGUCCAUAUCCCAUGUCACCCACGGCAAAGGAGACUCUAAGACUUCUGAAGACUAAAGUUACAGAACCCAAAUUUGGCAACUGUCUGCAUCUGAACAACAGAAGUUUCAACAUUCUGCCAACAGAGUAACUCCUGGACGAUUGGCACAGAAGAAGGCACAAGGCAAAUACCCAUCUCUGUACACCCUGUGCUACUGUGUCAUGUGCUGCUCCAGGCAACUCCAAUGGAUUGGCCACCCUGGCCAAUGUGUUCUAGUAUGUUACGUUUAUGUUCCCCUGCUUUCUACAAUCCUGUUCAAAGAGUUGCUGACUUAACCACAGAGAGGAUUCCAGAACCUGAGACACAGAAUAAACUUGAGCAAUCAUAGUCCAUCCACUUCAUUGUCUCAUCAAAAACCAAAGGUCCAGUGAAGCUCUGGAACUCAACGCUGUAAAGGAGCGAAGGAGCUUCUAUACAGAGCCUGGAUGCCUGUCUCCUUAUCCUAC